This is a long non-coding RNA of Oncorhynchus tshawytscha (Chinook salmon), 536 nucleotides long. The record is from Ensembl. NCBI's taxonomy places the organism in Eukaryota, Metazoa, Chordata, Actinopteri, Salmoniformes, Salmonidae.
GUCAGAUGUUAGGUACGGACUAGGGAGGGUACAGGUAGAGGAAGACAGGUCAGAUGUUAGGUACGGACUAGGGAGGGUACAGGUAGAGGAAGACAGGUCAGAUGUUAGGUACGGACUAGGGAGGGUACGGGUAGAGGAAGACAGGUCAGAUGUUAGGUACGGACUAGGGAGGGUACAGGUAGAGGAAGACAGGUCAGAUGUUAGGUACGGACUAGGGAGGGUACAGGUAGAGGAAGACAGGUCAGAUGUUAGGUUCGGACUAGGGAGGGUACAGGUAGAGGAAGACAGGUCAGAUGUUAGGUACGGACUAGGGAGGGUACAGGUAGAGGAAGACAGAUCAGAUGUACGGACUAGGGAGGGUACGGGUAGAGGAAGACAGGUCAGAUGUUAGGUACGGUCUAGGGAGGGUACAGGUAGAGGAAGACAGGUCAGAUGUUAGGUACGGACUAGGGAGGGUACAGGAAGACAGGUCAGAUGUUAGGUACGGACUAGGGAGGGUACAGGUAGAGGAAGACAGGUCAGAUGUUAGGUACGGA